Long non-coding RNA from Vigna unguiculata (cowpea), 545 nucleotides. RefSeq lists it as uncharacterized. The record is from RefSeq and is a predicted model, not a curated record. Lineage: Eukaryota; Viridiplantae; Streptophyta; Magnoliopsida; Fabales; Fabaceae.
UUUUUUUAUAUUGCAUCAUUCCAUAGCCUUUAUUUUCAUCCUGCGGGGCUCAUUGUAGAACCUUUCCCUCUGCAUGCACUUAAAUUGCUACAUUGUCCCUUAAAUUCCCCAAAACUAAACCAUUUUAUGCUUUCAAUUUUCUCAGCAUUUCGCCAUGAACCUUGAAAAUUCUCACUCUGUUGAUGACAAAACCAAGAGAAGUUGGUCAAGUUAUUAUGUCACAAUUUUCUGCACACCAUUUGUUUGUGUGGAUAACUUAAUGACAAGAUUGAAGAUACCAAGUUGGAGAACGUUUUGGAGGAAGGUCAAGAGGGAAAAGAGGAAGCUAUUCGGUGCUUCACCUGCAAUUCAUGCUCACUCGAUUUGCGGUCCCCUCCAGGAUCUUUGAGAAGAAUGAAAUAGCGUGCACUGCUGAUAAAUUGUGAGAGAACAUGGUGUACUUUUUUCGGUUCUUUUGAUCUCUCGGUUUUACUUUUCCUAUGAACAUGAUGCUGUUGUACAAAGUUUUGGAUAUCUUGUUAAUCUUUGAGUUAGGUGUUAUGGAA